UGGGCGAAAGCCUGAUCCAGCCAUGCCGCGUGUGUGAAGAAGGUCUUCGGAUUGUAAAGCACUUUAAGUUGGGAGGAAGGGCAGUAAGUUAAUACCUUGCUGUUUUGACGUUACCAACAGAAUAAGCACCGGCUAACUUCGUGCCAGCAGCCGGCG
Molecule: ribosomal RNA, 156 nt
Filed under: Pseudomonas sp. HPD-1
Lineage: Bacteria; Pseudomonadati; Pseudomonadota; Gammaproteobacteria; Pseudomonadales; Pseudomonadaceae
Description: partial 16S ribosomal RNA
Rfam family: Bacterial small subunit ribosomal RNA
Source: RNAcentral